GAACCGUUAUAACCGGCGAUUUCCGAAUGGGGAAACCCAGUGUGAUUCGUCACACUAUCAUUAACUGAAUCCAUAGGUUAAUGAGGCGAACCGGGGGAACUGAAACAUCUAAGUACCCCGAGGAAAAGAAAUCAACCGAGAUUCCCCCAGUAGCGGCGAGCGAACGGGGAGCAGCCCAGAGCCUGAAUCAGUGUGUGUGUUAGUGGAAGCGUCUGGAAAGGCGCGCGAUACAGGGUGACAGCCCCGUACACAAAAAUGCACAUGCUGUGAGCUCGAUGAGUAGGGCGGGACACGUGGUAUCCUGUCUGAAUAUGGGGGGACCAUCCUCCAAGGCUAAAUACUCCUGACUGACCGAUAGUGAACCAGUACCGUGAGGGAAAGGCGAAAAGAACCCCGGCGAGGGGAGUGAAAAAGAACCUGAAACCGUGUACGUACAAGCAGUGGGAGCACAGAGCAAUCUGUGUGACUGCGUACCUUUUGUAUAAUGGGUCAGCGACUUAUAUUCUGUAGCAAGGUUAACCGAAUAGGGGAGCCGAAGGGAAACCGAGUCUUAACUGGGCGUUAAGUUGCAGGGUAUAGACCCGAAACCCGGUGAUCUAGCCAUGGGCAGGUUGAAGGUUGGGUAACACUAACUGGAGGACCGAACCGACUAAUGUUGAAAAAUUAGCGGAUGACUUGUGGCUGGGGGUGAAAGGCCAAUCAAACCGGGAGAUAGCUGGUUCUCCCCGAAAGCUAUUUAGGUAGCGCCUCGUGAAUUCAUCUCCGGGGGUAGAGCACUGUUUCGGCAAGGGGGUCAUCCCGACUUACCAACCCGAUGCAAACUGCGAAUACCGGAGAAUGUUAUCACGGGAGACACACGGCGGGUGCUAACGUCCGUCGUGAAGAGGGAAACAACCCAGACCGCCAGCUAAGGUCCCAAAGUCAUGGUUAAGUGGGAAACGAUGUGGGAAGGCCCAGACAGCCAGGAUGUUGGCUUAGAAGCAGCCAUCAUUUAAAGAAAGCGUAAUAGCUCACUGGUCGAGUCGGCCUGCGCGGAAGAUGUAACGGGGCUAAACCAUGCACCGAAGCUGCGGCAGCGACGCUGAUGCGUUGUUGGGUAGGGGAGCGUUCUGUAAGCCUGUGAAGGUGUGCUGUGAGGCAUGCUGGAGGUAUCAGAAGUGCGAAUGCUGACAUAAGUAACGAUAAAGCGGGUGAAAAGCCCGCUCGCCGGAAGACCAAGGGUUCCUGUCCAACGUUAAUCGGGGCAGGGUGAGUCGACCCCUAAGGCGAGGCCGAAAGGCGUAGUCGAUGGGAAACAGGUUAAUAUUCCUGUACUUGGUGUUACUGCGAAGGGGGGACGGAGAAGGCUAUGUUGGCCGGGCGACGGUUGUCCCGGUUUAAGCGUAUAGGCUGGUUUUCCAGGCAAAUCCGGAAAAUCAAGGCUGAGGCGUGAUGACGAGGCACUACGGUGCUGAAGCAACAAAUGCCCUGCUUCCAGGAAAAGCCUCUAAGCAUCAGGUAACAUCAAAUCGUACCCCAAACCGACACAGGUGGUCAGGUAGAGAAUACCAAGGCGCUUGAGAGAACUCGGGUGAAGGAACUAGGCAAAAUGGUGCCGUAACUUCGGGAGAAGGCACGCUGAUAUGUAGGUGAAGUCCCUCGCGGAUGGAGCUGAAAUCAGUCGAAGAUACCAGCUGGCUGCAACUGUUUAUUAAAAACACAGCACUGUGCAAACACGAAAGUGGACGUAUACGGUGUGACGCCUGCCCGGUGCCGGAAGGUUAAUUGAUGGGGUUAGCGCAAGCGAAGCUCUUGAUCGAAGCCCCGGUAAACGGCGGCCGUAACUAUAACGGUCCUAAGGUAGCGAAAUUCCUUGUCGGGUAAGUUCCGACCUGCACGAAUGGCGUAAUGAUGGCCAGGCUGUCUCCACCCGAGACUCAGUGAAAUUGAACUCGCUGUGAAGAUGCAGUGUACCCGCGGCAAGACGGAAAGACCCCGUGAACCUUUACUAUAGCUUGACACUGAACAUUGAGCCUUGAUGUGUAGGAUAGGUGGGAGGCUUUGAAGUGUGGACGCCAGUCUGCAUGGAGCCGACCUUGAAAUACCACCCUUUAAUGUUUGAUGUUCUAACGUUGACCCGU
Molecule: ribosomal RNA, 2120 nt
Filed under: Escherichia coli
Lineage: Bacteria; Pseudomonadati; Pseudomonadota; Gammaproteobacteria; Enterobacterales; Enterobacteriaceae
Description: partial 23S ribosomal RNA
Rfam family: Bacterial large subunit ribosomal RNA
Source: RNAcentral